This 307-nucleotide unclassified non-coding RNA is filed under the name plant metagenome. RNAcentral describes it as "partial contains 5.8S ribosomal RNA, internal transcribed spacer 2, and large subunit ribosomal RNA". The stretch from base 1 to 105 matches the Rfam family "5.8S ribosomal RNA", at positions 50 to 154 of the family's 154-position model. The record is from RNAcentral.
GAAAUGCGAUAAGUAAUGUAAAUUGCAGAAUUCAGUGAAUCAUCGAAUCUUUGAACGCACAUUGCGCCCGCCAGCACUCUGGCGGGCAUGCCUGUUCGAGCGUCAUUUCAACCCUCAGAACCCCUUGCGGGAUCUGGCGUUGGGGAUUGGCAUCCAGCCAGCCCCGAAAUCUAGUGGCGGUCCCUCCGCGACCUCCCCUGUGCAGUAGCGAUACCUCGCAGCGGGACAGCGGUCUGACCACGCCGUAAAACCCCCAACUUCUCAAGGUUGACCUCGAAUCAGGUAUGAAUACCCGCUGAACUUAAGC